RNAcentral lists this ribosomal RNA (497 nucleotides) under uncultured bacterium. Its description in RNAcentral is "partial 16S ribosomal RNA". It matches the Rfam family "Bacterial small subunit ribosomal RNA", at positions 28 to 507 of the family's 1533-position model. The record is from RNAcentral.
GAUGAACGCUGGCGGCGUGCCUAAUACAUGCAAGUCGAGCGAACAGACGAGGAGCUUGCUCCUCUGACGUUAGCGGCGGACGGGUGAGUAACACGUGGAUAACCUACCUAUAAGACUGGGAUAACUUCGGGAAACCGGAGCUAAUACCGGAUAAUAUAUUGAACCGCAUGGUUCAAUAGUGAAAGACGGUUUUGCUGUCACUUAUAGAUGGAUCCGCGCCGCAUUAGCUAGUUGGUAAGGUAACGGCUUACCAAGGCAACGAUGCGUAGCCGACCUGAGAGGGUGAUCGGCUACACUGGAACUGAGACACGGUCCAGACUCCUACGGGAGGCAGCAGUAGGGAAUCUUCCGCAAUGGGCGAAAGCCUGCCGGAGCAACGCCGCGUGAGUGAUGAAGGUCUUCGGAUCGUAAAACUCUGUUAUUAGGGAAGAACAAAUGUGUAAGUAACUAUGCACGUCUUGACGGUACCUAAUCAGAAAGCCACGGCUAACUACGUG